Molecule: long non-coding RNA, 586 nt
Organism: Xenopus laevis (African clawed frog)
Lineage: Eukaryota; Metazoa; Chordata; Amphibia; Anura; Pipidae
Exons: 2
Source: RefSeq, a predicted model, not a curated record
AGCAGUGUGUCUGUCUCUUUCCUUCCAGAGAUCUAUUGUCAGAGCUCUCCACAGUGCACUGUUUAGUCCAUCUGAUUGUGUAUUGACAUGUCUAUGGCUGUUCAAAAACUCCUGCUGAAGCCUUCUCAGCUCACUUUCUGGAAAGUAUUGGUUCUGAAAAGGUCCAGCAGUAUCCACAGCAAACCCCCAAAAGGAAAAGUUGGUCCACUUGAAACCAUCAUUGGAUUUUUAGCUUUCACAACAGGCCUUCUAAUACCGGCUGGAUACAUUCUAAAGCACCUUCCAGAGCAACGAAAACAUUAGCAGGAAAGAUGUAAUAAUUGGGGCAUCAUGUUAUUGUGCAUAAACACUUCUGAACUGCCUUGUAAAUGGCCAUCUUAAAUGAAAUUGUAUGCAUGUACAUUUUGAAGGAUUUUUUAAAAGUUUAUUUUUGUUUGUGUUGUGUAAUAAAGGAAGUGACUUCAGCCAACUACUAAAUAAAGGAACCUUUAACCUGUACCCAGCAUUGUUUUAAAAAAGCCUUGUAAAUGGCCAUCUUAAAUGAAAUUGUAUGCAUGUACAUUUUGAAGGAUUUUUUAAAAGUUUA